AUGACAACUGAAAACGGAAUCUUAUUUUUAGGUACAGGUUCUUCUUCGUCGACACCUAAACUAUCCCACAUUUUUAAAAAUUCACGAAUCCUAUUAUUAGAGGAUAAAAAAAUAGAAAACACGAGCGAAGAUUUAAGCAAACAAGAUAAUGAAUUGAUAGAUGAAUUUGUAGAAGGAUUAGUAUCAAAAGGUUUAGAAAGUAUAGACCAGCUUAAUGAUAUGUAUUUAAAAAAAAUGUACCCUACUUGCGGUGAACUUAAAUGUUAUACAUGUUUUGAUGCUUUGAGAAAUAAUUCUAAAAACAAAAGAAAUAAUAUAUCUGUUUUGUUAAAGUCUAAUAAUUCUUCUGUACUAAUAGAUGUCGGUAAAACAUUUAGAGAUAGCCUUUUAUAUAAUAGGGACAGGAUCAACUUCUGUGUAAAAACAAAAGCGAACACACAUACAUACAUACAUACAUAUAUAUACAUAUACAUAUACAUAUAUAAACAUAUAACUUUUUUUUUGAACAUCAUUUUUUUUGAACACAAUUUUUUUUGCAAUAUUUUUUUUAUAAAUGUUUACAUGUGUCCAAUUUGUGCACCCAUUUUUUGUACCCAUUUUUUGUACCCAUUUUUUGUACCCAUUUNNNNNNNNNNCCCAUUUUUUGUACCCAUUUUUUGUACCCAUUUUUUGUACCCAUUUUGUAUGGCGAUUUUUUUCUUCAGGAAAUUAACAUAGACUUAGUAUUAAUUAGUCACAGCCAUACAGAUGCAUUAAAUGGUAUUGAUGAUUUAAGGGACUUGCAAGAGUAUAAGCGAGUUUCACAUGAUGAUGUAUUUUAUUAUACUUCGGACAAACCCAUAGAUGUUUAUGUAAAUGAUGUGUCAUAUGAGCGAUUAAAAAAUGGAUAUGAUUAUCUAGUAAGAAAAAGAUAUGAAAAUAUAUUUUAUUCAAAAAUAGCUGCUCUAAAUAUAUUAGUGAUAAAAGAUAAAAUAUAUAAUGAAUUUACUAUGGAAGAUGAGUACUUAAGCCAAAGAGAAAAAAAAGAUGAUUUAGUUAGUAUAGACGGGAUUAGCAUAUGUAAAAACAACAUUAAUAGUAGCAAUUUUAUUAGCAGUGAUGACACCACUGACAAUACUGUUAAUAGUAUUAUCGAUGAAACAAAAAAUCAGAACAACAUAUGUAAUGAUGAAAAAAAAAAAAAAUACAUAAAUAUACAUACAUAUGAUAAAAAAGAUGAGCAUGGUUUUAUAUAUACUCAAUUCGAUAAAAAUAAAAAUAUAAGGUUCAUACCA
RNAcentral lists this long non-coding RNA (1274 nucleotides) under Piliocolobus tephrosceles (Ugandan red Colobus). RNAcentral's name for it is "lncRNA (ENSPTEG00000014007.1)". The record is from RNAcentral. Lineage: Eukaryota; Metazoa; Chordata; Mammalia; Primates; Cercopithecidae.